This 96-nucleotide transfer RNA is filed under the name bacterium HR29. Its description in RNAcentral is "tRNA-Gly". The record is from RNAcentral. RNAcentral also lists the same sequence under 1 other name.
GCGGGCGUGGUGGGGCGGUUCGCCGCCAUCCAUCCUGCCGGGCGGGGAGAGUGGGCGGUGCAGCUCUUCGACGGUGUGGAACCCGUCGGCCCGCUC